Molecule: ribosomal RNA, 770 nt
Filed under: uncultured bacterium
Lineage: Bacteria
Description: bacterial SSU rRNA
Rfam family: Bacterial small subunit ribosomal RNA (bases 1-651)
Source: RNAcentral
AGUUUGAUCCUGGCUCAGAUUGAACGCUGGCGGCAUGCCUUACACAUGCAAGUCGAACGGCAGCACGGGGGCAACCUUGGUGGCGAGUGGCGAACGGGUGAGUAAUGCAUCGGAACGUGCCCAGUAGUGGGGGAUAACUAGUCGAAAGAUUAGCUAAUACCGCAUACGACCUAUGGGUGAAAGCGGGGGAUUCGCAAGAACCUCGCGCUAUCGGAGCGGCCGAUGUCUGAUUAGCUAGUUGGCGGGGUAAAAGCCCACCAAGGCUUCGAUCAGUAGCUGGUCUGAGAGGACGACCAGCCACACUGGGACUGAGACACGGCCCAGACUCCUACGGGAGGCAGCAGUGGGGAAUUUUGGACAAUGGGCGCAAGCCUGAUCCAGCCAUGCCGCGUGCGGGAGAGAAGGCCUUCGGGUUGUAAACCGCUUUUGGCAGGAACGAAACGGCGCGAGCGAAUAUCUCGCGUUAAUGACUGUACCUGCAGAAUAAGCACCGGCUAACUACGUGCCAGCAGCCGCGGUAAUACGUACCGGUGCAAGCGUUAAUCAGAAUUACUGGGCGUAAAUGCGUACGCAGGGCGGCUUAGCUACGACAGGGUGUGACCAUCCCCCGGGGCCUAGCCGUGGGUAAACUGCAUUUUGUUGACCUGCAUUUGGCUACCGCUUUAGUCAGGACGGGGUGGGUGAAGUUCACCACCGUGUUACCGAGUUGAACAUUGCGUUACAAUCAUUUUGGUAGGCAACCACCUGCAAUGGGCGUUAUGGGCCGUCGC